Parus major (Great Tit) is the source of this 321-nucleotide long non-coding RNA. RefSeq lists it as uncharacterized. Lineage: Eukaryota; Metazoa; Chordata; Aves; Passeriformes; Paridae. The transcript has 3 exons. The record is from RefSeq and is a predicted model, not a curated record.
CAAGGUCUUAGUGCAUUGUACGGAGCUGGAUUUCUUACUACCCACAUUACACUUGUGAGCACACCUGCUGUGAGCACUGCUGCUUCCAAAUGUCUCCAAAGAAAGAGAGUCUCCACCCUGACAAGAUCCUGCAGGAAGAUAUAUCCUUUGGGGCAGGUCCCUGGGACACAGUCACCUCCUGUCCUGGCUUCUUGAUCUUCCACAGUGGUGGAUUCUGCUUGAGGAAUUGCCUCUCAAAACAGCAGCCAUUGCUCUCUGCUGCCCUGUUCAACAGGCAUGAGGAAGAAGAAAGAAGAAGAAGAUGAAGAAGAAGACGAAGAA